CUACGGGCGGCACCAGGCGCGAAACCUUUACAAUGCACGCAAGUGUGAUAAGGGGAUCCUAAGUGCUCAUACAUUGUAUGGGCUUUUGUUAAGAGUAAAUAUCUUAGCGAAUAAGUGGUGGGUAAGACUGGUGCCAGCCGCCGCGGUAACACCAGCGCCACAAGUGGCAACCACGUUUAUUGGGCCUAAAGCGUCCGUAGCCGGUUUGGAAAAUCUCUUGUGAAAUCGACAAGCUCAACUUGUCGGCGUGAUUGAGACACUACUAAACUAGAGACCGGGAGGAGUCAGAGGUAUUCCAGGGGGAGCGGUAAAAUGUGAUAAUCCUUGGAGGACCAUCUAUGGCGAAGGCAUCUGACCAGAACGGAUCUGACGGUGAGGGACGAAGGCUAGGGGAGCGAUCCGGAUUAGAUACCCUUGUAGUC
RNAcentral lists this ribosomal RNA (422 nucleotides) under uncultured archaeon. Its description in RNAcentral is "partial 16S ribosomal RNA". It matches the Rfam family "Archaeal small subunit ribosomal RNA", at positions 323 to 746 of the family's 1478-position model. The record is from RNAcentral.